UUACUUACUGUGAAACUGUUACCGAGGCAGGCGGCGGCGGCAGCGGCGACCAGCUCCGAGGAUCCGGAGAGCAGCAGCGCUCAGGGUCUAGAAGGACCUCGGGCAGCAGCAAGCCCCGACUGCACGGAGGAGCCAGGUCGGCAGUCGUACCAUCACCGCCGCGCUUUAUACAGGAGCCGGGGGAUCACAGGGGCUCCGGGGACCAGGGGAUUAGCCCCCCCCCCGCCCCAGGGCGCUCAGAACUCAGCCCCCCUGCCCCACGCUCUGGGCUGGGGAUGGCGAGCCCCACGCUGCUGGGGCUGCUGCCCCCCCUGAACUCCCCUCCUGGUCCCAACCUCAACAACAACAACAACCACCAGAGCGUGAGGAAAUGCGGCUACCUGCGCAAGCAGAAGCACGGGCACAAGCGCUUCUUCGUGCUCCGGGGACCCGGCGGCAGCGGGGAGGAGCAGCCGGGGGCGGGGGGCGCCCGGCUGGAGUACUACGAGAACGAGAAGAAAUGGAAGAACAAGUCCGGGGCUCCCAAGCGGGUGAUCGCGCUGGAUUCCUGCCUCAACAUCAACAAGCGAGCGGACGCCAAGCACAAGUACCUGAUCGCCCUCUACACCAAGGACGAGUACUUCGCCGUGGCGGCCGAGAACGAGCAGGAGCAGGAGGGCUGGUACCGGGCCCUCACCGACCUGCUCAACGAGGGCAAAGCCGCCUGCCAGGGUUCCCCGCUCCGCCACCUCUCCUCGCCCUUCUCCUCCGGCAGCGCCGCCGGCUCCUCCCUGGCCGGCGGCUGCGAGGACCUGAACUACGGGCUGCUCGCCCCGGCCAGCGCUGUCUACCGGGAGGUCUGGCAGGUGACGCUGAAGCCCAAGGGCCUGGGGCAGAGUAAGAACCUGACCGGGGUGCACCGGCUCUGCCUCUCCGCUCGCACCAUCGGCUUCGUGCGCCUCAACUGCGAGCUGCCCUCGGUCACGCUGCAGCUGAUGAACAUCCGCCGCUGCGGCCACUCCGACAGCUUCUUCUUCAUGGAGGUGGGGCGGUCGGCGGCCACCGGGCCCGGCGAGCUCUGGAUGCAGGCGGACGACUCGGUGGUGGCGCAGAACAUCCACGAGACCAUCCUGGGGGCCAUGAAGGCGCUGAAGGAGCUGUCCGAGUUCCGGCCCCGCAGCAAGAGCCAGUCCUCCUCCUCCUCCUCCUCCGGGGGCGCCGGCGGCCCCGGAGCCUCCUCCACCCACCCCAUCACCGUGCCCGGCCGCCGGCACCACCACCUGGUCAACCUGCCGCCCAGCCAGACCGGCCUGCUGCGCCGCUCCCGCACAGACAGCCUGGCGGCCGGGGCCAGCGCCGGCACCAAGGGCAACCCGGGCCGGGUGCGGACGGCCAGCGAAGGGGAUGGCUGCAGAGCGGGCUCGGUCGCCGGCAGCCCCAUGAGCCCCGGCCCGGUGCGGACUCCCUUGAGCCGCUCGCACACACUUAGUAGCGGCGGCAAGUCGGGGGGAAAGCUGGGGCCGGUGCCCCCCGGGGGCGGCCUGCAAAAUAGUCGCUCCAUGUCUAUGCCCGUAUCUCACUCGCCCCCUUCCGCCACCAGCCCGAUCAGCCUCUCCUCCAGCAGCGGGCUCGGCUCCGAGCCCCCCCACCCGCAGCGCCUGUCCAGCGGCAGCGCCUCCGUGUCGGGCUCCCCCAGCGACCCGGGCUUUAUGUCCUUCGACGAAUACGGCUCCAGCCCGGGCGGCGACCUGCGGCCCUUCUCCACUGCCAGCAACCGCAGCAACACGCCCGAGUCCAUCGCCGAGACCCCCCCGGUGCGGGACCCCGGGGGCGGCGCGGACCUGUACGGCUACAUGGCCAUGGAGCGGCCCCAGAGCGGCCGGCUCUGCUACCGGCCCUGCCCGGACUCGGCGGGGGACAAGGGCCCCAGGAAGCGGACUUACUCGCUGACCACGCCGUGCCGCCAGCGGGCCGCCCCCCCGCAGGUCUCCUCCGCUUCCCUGGACGAGUACACCCUGAUGCGGGCCACCUUCGCCGGCAGCUCCGGCCGCCUCUUCCCAGCCGCCUCCCCCAAAGUGACCUACACCCCCUACCCCGAGGACUACGGGGACAUCGAGAUCGGCUCCCACCGCAGCUCCGGCAGCAGCAGCACCAACCUGGGGCCGCCGGCAGGGGGCGGCGGAGGAGGGGACGACGGCUACAUGCCCAUGACCCCCGGGGUGGCCGCGGCAUUGGGGCCGGGCAGCCGGGGCGGCGCUGACUACAUGCCUAUGAGCCCCACCAGCGUGUCCGCCCCGCAGCAGAUCCUGCAGCCGCGGGCCGGGGCGGGCGGCGGCUCGCCGGGGAACGGCAGCGGCGGCUACAAGACCAGCUCCCCCGGGGAGAGCUCCCCGGACGACAGCGGCUACAUGCGGAUGUGGGGCGGCUCCCGGCUCUCGGUGGAGAGCUCGGACGGGAGGCUGAGCGGCGGGGACUACAUCAACAUGUCCCCGCACGGGCCGCCCGCCGCCUCGCUCACCCCACCCGACUUCUUCUUCGCCCCGGCUGCGGGCGCCGGCGACCCGCCCAAGGCCGCCUACGCCUGCAGCUCCCUGCCCCGCUCCUGUCCCAGCCAGGAGCCGGCCAAGGACAGCGACCAGUACGUCUUCAUGAGCUCCCCGGGCAGGAUGGUCCCGGAGCAGCCGGCCUGCGGCGUGCGCCCCGCCGCCCCCUCCAGCCACACGGUGCCUUCCCCGCUGCGGCACAGCCGGACCGAGAGCUUCCUGAGCCAGCGGGGCCCGCGGGCGGUCCGGCCCAGCCGCCUGGCCCUGGACACCCUGCGGACGCUGCUGCCCAGCAUGCACGAGCACCCGCUGCCGCCCGAGCCCCAGAGCCCCGGCGAGUACAUCAACAUCGACUUCGGGGAGCCGGCGGCUGCCGACUCGCCGCCCUCCCUGCCCGCCGACAGCCCGGCCUCCUCGCUGGGCUCGGGCGCCGGGCGGAGGCGCUCCCACCUCUCCGACUACAUGAACAUCGACUUCGGCUCGCAGGCGGGCCCGGUCUCGGUGGGCUGCCUGGAGGCGCUCUCCCCGGAGGCCUGCGCCAGCCGCGGCCGGCCCGACGGGCUCUACCUGCCGGCGGCGGUGGGGGUGGCCUGCCUGUCCAGCCCGCCCGACGGGGGGGAUUACACCGAGAUGACCUUCGGCCUGGCCGCCACCCCGCCCCAGCCCAUCGCCCAGAAGCCAGAAAGUGCCCGGGUCACCAGCCCCACGGCGGGGGUGAAGAGACUCACCCUGGCCGGGGUGGAGGCUUUCAUCCUCUCCAGCCCGCCCCCGGACCCCAACCGCGGGGCCAAGGUCAUCCGGGCGGAUCCCCAGGGGCGCCGGCGGCACAGCUCGGAGACUUUCUCCUCCACCACCACUGUGACCCCCGUGUCCCCUUCCUUUGCACAUAACCCCAAACGGCACAACUCGGCCUCGGUGGAGAACGUGUCCCUCAGGAAAAGCGAAGGCCUGGAGGAGGAGCAGGGCAGCAGCCCCAUGUGCCGGGAGACCUCCGCUGGCUUCCAGAACGGCCUCAAUUACAUCGCCAUAGACGUGGUGGAUGGGAGCCUGGCAAACCGUGACAAAGUCAGACGCAAAGGCAGGCACGCCAUGAAUGGGGACAUCAAUGGAGUGGAGACCAGCGCCUAUGCCAGCAUAGAUUUCCUAUCCCACAACCUGAAAGAAGCAACUGCUGUGAAAGUUACAGAUCUUGCACGAGUAUGUUCUGCUUGGAAUUCAGAUAGAAUUUUCACUGUCCUUCAAGAUAUUUUCUGUGUUAGAUUAUUAUUUAUUAUUUGUAUUACAGUAGUGCCUAGACUAGAGUCUCCAACUGAGAUCAGAUACUGCACAUAGAUAUCCAAAGAAUUCCUACCCCAGUGUGCAUCCAAUCAAACCAACUAGAUAGACAAAGUGUGGGGGAAAGGUUUUGGUGAAGUAUUAGUACUCUUCCCACAUCAUGGCUAAUUCCAGUAACGUUCCUAAGAAAUAAGCCAUUAACUCAGUUGUAGAUAAACUCAUUAAAUAGCUGACACUUAGAUUUGCCUGUGCAUAGGUAAUUAACAGUUCAGUCAUUGGAGCUAUAGUGUCUUUACCGGAGUUCAUAAUUUAACAAGUUCUACAGUUUUAAAAAAAGUAGCUCGUGUGUGUGUGUGUGUGUGUGUGUGUGUGCGCGCGCGGGAGGCACAUACACUUACACAAUAAACAAAGAAUAGCUGUCCCAUAUAAGUGACCCAUAAGAGUAUUUUAUUCUAAUAAACAGCAUAUAGAAAUAGUUAAACAGAUGAAGAAAAACCCAUAUAACAUCUACACUGCGAAAUACCCAGUAAUGUAAUAGUUCAGGAGUGAGUCAGUGUUUUGUUUACAGUCGCUUCAGCAUCCUAGAAGAGAAUACUUCCUUCCUGGCAGAUGGCAGCCCCAGGGCCAUGCACCUGCUAUUACAAGCAGUACGCUGUAGUAACCAACCCCAGCCUCACUGUUGACAAUGGGUUGUCAGCCCACUGUUGGGCUCACAGCCUAAAGAGAAUAGGGAACAUAUUUGUCCUUCAACAAGGGACUGAAAUAUCUUAGGAAAGACAAUAGAGAUGGUACACUAAAGAAUUGUGCUACAGUCUAAAAUAUCCUUCUUGUAGAAGAAGUGUGUAGUGAGCCACUUUAAGACAAAUUAUGAUUGAAGAUCAUGAACUGUGUCAUCAGGGAGAGGAUUUUCUGUUCUCUCAUCCAAUAGAGUGAUUUCCCACGUUGGAUUUAUUAGCUCUAUCUAGGCAGUCAGAACACUCUCAUAACUUAGCUAAAUGUGCUUUUGCAAUGCAUCCGUCAGUAACCUGUAUUACCUCACCACCUUGUCUGUCUAGUAACCUGUAGUGGAAUUCUUUUCAAGAGGAGAGGGUUUUCCCUGUGGAAUUGUCUAAUUUACUGUGGCUGUGAGGAGGCUGAAAUAGUUAUGUACAGUCCACUCUGAUACUGUUAUACAGAUCCACCAAAAGGUGUACUAAAAAGUAAGAAUGUCUAUUUCAUUAUACCUUAAUGCUGUAUUUGUGGCUGCAGAAUACAGCAGAAUCUCUGGGUCUUUUGAGUUGCAACACCAUCUGUUACAACCAUGUCAUUGGGGCCAUCUUCUGUUAAUUUGACCGUCAUUAAUUUCUCUUAUGCAUUAAAGUUUUUUGUUUGUUUUUGUUUUGAAGAUGGAGGAUAUCUUUAGUUUUAGUGGAAGGCUUUCCAAAGAAGAGGGUGUCCUUUUUAGUAGGCCAGGAUAUUCUUGCUAAAUUUAAAAACUAUCCAAAUGUUACCCUGAGUUUGUAUAGUAUUAAACAGGAUUAUAUGACACACAGAUUAGACAUUGUUGAGAAGCUUGUUUUUGUUUGAAGGGGUAAGAAAUGGAGGGCUUUAAUGUAAUGCCAAUAUAGCAAAUUUGCUGAUACCAGAAACAGAAGAAAUGUCUUAGAAACGGUAGAACAUAAUGACAGACUUUCCAUUUUGUACAACUUCUUCAAGUGAUGCUUUAACAAUAUUUAUGUGAUUAAAUGCUGUGGUGAUGAGUAUAGAAUAUGAAAUGUUCUGCUUUCACUUGGUGUUAAUUUCUAAAUCUGUUUCAGAGAUAUAGGCAAUCUAAAGUUGAUCUGCAAUAAUACUGUAGGUAUGACUUAAGACAGAAACACAUCAAUAAGUAAUGCCAGUAACAGUUGUAAAAUCAUGUCAAUGAAAACUGUUAAAUUGGAUAGAAUAAAAUUUAAUUAAUCUUAGGUUUGCUUCUCUGAUUCAAUUCUCCAGGGAGUGUAUUAUUUUUAAAUAAUAGCUAAUGCAGUCAUUCUGUAGAGAUUAACACCUCUUAAAAUCGGUUCUUAAAGGAUAUAUUGUCAAACUAUUUAAGGUGAGAAUUUGGAGGCCUUUUUUGACAAAAGGUUGUAUACAGCCUGGUAGGAAUAGAUUAAAAAAUCCAAUGAAACACUUUCAGGGGGCAGUUAAACUUAAUUGUCCAAUGGAGAAGACACAAACUACUUCCUUGUGCUAUUGCUUGAGUACCAGAAAGUAAGAGUGACUCGGCUUUCGUAGUUCAAGACAAGUGAAAAUGUGAAAAGUAAGCAAGUAUAAUAAUUUGCCACAUGACACUUGAAUGUUGUUUAAACAGCAAGAAUAAAACCAAAAUUGUCUCAUGGAAGUAUAUGAUACUUGAUAUGAUUUAUGAGGUUAACAGUGUAUUGUGUAAUACUUUCACAACAGUAUUGGAUUUAUUCAAACUGUUAUGUUUUCUGCAGUGCUUGAGUUAUGUAUCUAAGUAAUUCUAGAGGAGGAGCAGUGAUGUUUUUUCCUAAUGCAAUAUCUUCUUUCUCGUGACUUGGAACUUUUUCAAAAAGGCUGGUGAGAAAGCUUUGUUUUCUUUCUCCUUAUGUGAUAGUACUAGUAAAUAUCCAUUAAGCAGUCCUUCGUGGUGUUUGUAUCUUUUGCUGGCCCACAUUUCAGGGUAGACUGUUUAAAUGGAUGAACAAUUCUUGUUGUUUGCAGUGUUGUAUUUGUAUUGGUACCAGGAUAUUAGAAAGACAAGGUGGGUGAGGUAAUUUCUUUUAUUGGACCAGCUUCUGUUGAUGAAAGAGAAAAGCUUUUGUGUGUACAUAGAGCUCUUCUUCAUAUCUGGGAAAGGUACUCAUGAGUGUGUCACAGCUAAAUACAAGGUGAAGCAGAUUACUUAGCAUAAUGAAUUAACACCCCUUGCAAGAGACCAUUCAAGGUGAAGUGGGCAGUUAACACUUCUGCAACCCUAGGACAGAGGAGUGUUAGUGAGGUUACCCAUUGUUGCAGUAAACCAUAAAUCCAGUGUCUUUAUUGAGUCAUAGUGAAGUUAUGAAUUUAAGCUCCAAGUUCAUCCUCUGAAGGUGUUGUGCAGGUUCCUUUGAGGACGAGGACUUAAGAGAAAGAAACAGGACUAAUGCCUACUUGGGAGUUAGGUUGGAGAGCAGAGUGAAGGAGUUAGUUUUAUCACCAUGACCUCAAACAACAGAGUACAACAUUGAAAGAAGCUGCUUGGCUAAUGGUUUUUUUAAAUCGAAGCUGCUUAAGGUUUACUUUAUUUUUUGUUGUUGGUCCGAAAGGUUGCUUAAUUUUCAAAACAGUUAUGGACUAUACUGGACAACAAAUCAGCAAGGAAGGGAGAGCAACCUGCCUCACUCAUUUCCUGUCAUUGACAUCUACAGUAUCAUUGUGCUGCUGUUUUGACAGACUUUAUUCAAGAUAUUCUCUAGAAAUUCGGAACUUUUCAACCGGCCUCUUUAACUUAUGGCCAAUGCCUUCAUUUCCUUUUUCUGCAAAGACUCACUGUAUUUAUUCUUCAGCAUAUUAAGGGAUUCUGCAAACACCUGCAAAAGCAGUAAAAUCUGGUAUUUACUGGCAUAAAUUUAAGCCUACCACAGUACUACCUCAGUUCAAAGUAAAGCCGGAUUUGUAUUGUUGGUGUAUAACAGGACCUCCUUUAUCACUAUGCUGAGUAUCUCUCAAGAACAGUCUUCAGCCUUACUUAACUUUUUAAAGUAUACAGCUGCUGGUUGGUUCUAAAUCACUAGCUGCAGUGUUUACUUAUCAGACAAAGCCCAAUGUGGGCACUGAAAAGUCUAAAAUGAAAUGAAACUUUGUGGAUUGGACUUUGACGGAAGAUUCCGAAUAGUUAUAAAGUGUGUAACUUAAGCAACGUAAGUUAAAAUAAUCAAACUGCAUUGGGGGGUGUCUCUUUUUACCUUUGACACUUGUUUAAUCCUCUCUAAGUAGGUGUUUAUGUAGGUACUUCAAAUUGCAAAAGCCUUUUCUGCUAUUUACAAACUCAUACUUGUCAAUUAACCCUGAUCUUCGCUGCAUGUCUCCUAACCAAAAAUCCACACAGGCAUGCAAGGAUGAUGAUAAUAAGUAUUGGGCAGAUUGAAAUGUUAAUUCUAAUAUAUUACUAUGCCAUCCAGAAAGUCCUAAUAUUUGCCUCUGACCAGAAAAGUAGCAUUCCAGCUAAAGGCAUCAUUAAAGGGAAAAAUGAAAGUUGCAGUCAGUUAGCCAGAAUUCUUUACAAGGAUGCCCAUGUUUUUUAACAUUUUCAGUAUUCUGAAAAUACUAGUGAUGUGUGGUGGCCUACAGUUGUUGCACCAGACUAGCAGAAUGUUCUGCCACCUUGUUGCUCCUUUGAUAAAUUUAAUGAAGAGUUCAUAUACAAUUGGUUUUUAAGGGUACCUCCCCAGUGCCUGCUCUGGUAGUCAUGUAAGUAUUACACUAAGUCAUCUGAGUUGUGUGUGAUUUUUUUUCUCUUUAAUUCUCUGUGAUAAGUGGAGAACCUAUACAUCACUAUAAACAGAAUGCAUUAUAUAUAUCUCUAUAUAUUUUUCUUUUGAGGAAGAUAAGAGUCAAUGUCUUACAAAUAUAAUGGCAAUGCAAAGUCUUCCUGCUUACAUGCUGAACUUUUAGAACACAGGAUUGUAUUACAAGACAAAGAUGAAUGUAAACUAAUUCCUUUUCCACCCCGCAACACAGGGUGUAAUUUUUUUUUCCCUGCGUAAUUUUCAGGGGUCUCGCAACACAGCAAUGCAUAGGCUGUACAAUAUUGGUCUAAGAUCAAUUUAAAUGUGCUUAUUUGGUUUUUUAAAGCCCGUUAAAUGUUUCUAAAAUGUUCUAAGUUAGUACUUGUUCAGUUCUGAAACUGAAACAAAUACAAUUAUUGAUGUUUGCUCUAUGAACCCCCUGCCCCCUAACAAUAGCACUGAAUGUGGUACCUGCUGAAUGCAAUGUUUUUACUUCUAUUUUGAAGUAUCCCUCUGUACCAAUUGUAAAAUCAUGCCACUAUAACAAAUGGUUAAUAUUCAUACAGCAACUUAAAAAAAAAACUUGAUGAUGUACUCAGUUCUCCUCUAUCCUGUAUAUUUCACAAAAGGCAUAUGCAAUAUUUACAUUCUUGAUUUAGUUUACAGAAUGGAACCAAAAUGUAUAAAUGUUAUGUUUGCUAAAACUUCACAAUGUAUAUUGGGUCUUUGUACAUUUUGCCUGACUUACCUUAAAUUUAAAAUAUUUUUUGCUAUAUAACCUCUAUAGUUAUUAAGCAGUGUUUUCAUUUUGGUUACGUAUUGUUUAUGGAUAUCAAGAUGUUAAAUAUAUUUCUUGCUAUUGUGAUAUGACAAGAGACUUAACUUAUCUUGCUGUGUCUUCCAAUGUACACGCUGUAUAUAAGGAUAAAUGUGAUGCUGCUGGAGACGAGAAUAAAUGGAACUAGAGUAGUGUAUUGUAUUUAGUCUGUAUUGAUCAUGGAUGCUCUCCUUAAUAGCCAUAUGCAAUAAAAUAAUUAUUUAUUAAAGGAA
RNA transcript from Chelonia mydas (Green sea turtle), 9316 nucleotides. It is a transcript of the gene named insulin receptor substrate 2, with no coding region annotated. Lineage: Eukaryota; Metazoa; Chordata; Testudines; Cheloniidae. The record is from RefSeq and is a predicted model, not a curated record. The transcript is spliced from 4 exons.